Molecule: ribosomal RNA, 1091 nt
Filed under: Nyctotherus ovalis
Lineage: Eukaryota; Ciliophora; Armophorea; Clevelandellida; Nyctotheridae
Description: mitochondrial SSU rRNA
Rfam family: Bacterial small subunit ribosomal RNA
Source: RNAcentral
GACGUUGAUCCCGGAAGCGUUACUGGUCCUAAUUAGGCGUAAAGUGUAGCUAGACUGCCGACGAAGUUUUGUUCUAAAGCGGGAGGUUAGAUCAUGUUGAACAUUAUACCGUCGUGCUCGGAGUAUACCUGAGAUUUCUGGCACAUGUGUCUUAGCGAUAAAAUGCGAUGAGGGCAUUAAGGGCAUUCCAGUGGCCACGGCAAGAUACAGGUAUAUCUCGACGUCGAACUACUAAAGUAUGGACUCCGAAGAGGAUUAGGGACCCUUGUAGCCCAUACCCUGAAUUCAUGAACAUUGAUCGGUAUACCAGGUACCGAUUAAGCUAACGCGUAAAUGUAUCGCCUGGGUAAUAUAGUCGCAAGAUUGAAAGCUAAUUAGAUUGGCGGGAGCUUGUAUAAAUAAUGGGGCACGUGGCUUAAUUCGACAAUACACGUAAAACCUUACCAGUGAAAGGAGGGACCUGGCGCGCACUGUUCAAGGUGCCGUGGGGGGUCCUCCUACUUUACAGUGCUGCAUGGCUGUCGAAAAUUCAUGCCGUGAGGUUUUGCGUUUGGUCGCCUAAUGGAUGCAAUCUAUGGAUUUUAUGCCAGUCAAAAUAUUCUUAGUUUUUUGAAUUUUAUGAUGGUUUGUAAGGUCUUUUGGGCGGGGUGCUCAGCUCUACUUGGGGCACCCGCCCGUAAGUCUAGGGCACGUCAAGUCAACAUGGUCUUUAUGUGCUGGGCCGCACAUGUGCCACAAUGGCAAAUACAGAAUGAGGCGAUGGUUUAAUCCAAAGCAAUCAUAUAAAAAUUGUCACAGUUCGGAUUGUAUGCUGCAAGUCGUAUACAUCAAGUUGUAAUUAUUAGUAAUCGCGGGUAGAGUGCCGCGGUGAAUAUUAUUCUAGCUUUGCACACACGCCCAUCACGCUGGUGGAGAUGCCGUUAUAUGACAUCUAUGGCUAUACUCUAUUACAAUCUACCACCCGGUAAUCGCGUCUCUCUUUAAUUACAAAGGUACAAUAGUAUUGUAGUGGCGAGUUAUUGUAGAACCUAUUAUCGUGAUUGGGAUUAUACCUUUCGAUUAGUAUAACGUUGUCAACUUCAGCUAAGUUG